This 596-nucleotide long non-coding RNA is filed under the name Triticum aestivum (bread wheat). Its description in RNAcentral is "long non-coding RNA (TAES_LNC019441)". The record is from RNAcentral. Lineage: Eukaryota; Viridiplantae; Streptophyta; Magnoliopsida; Poales; Poaceae.
UCUACAAUACGGUACGGUGCCUUUUCUUCCCGAGAGAAGUUUAACUUGUCUGAACACUUAAGUCGAAGCACAAGAAGAGGAUCAUCCUAUCCAUCAUUUUAAAAGAAUGGCGACUUCUAUAUUCUGGCCAAUUUUGAUAUAUCAUGUUUUUUCGAAAUUGCAUUAACUGUACCCUGUUCUAGCUGUUGUUGGUUAAGCAUCUGAGAUAUACCGUGAAAAGGAGAGCAUUAGCCCUACAUAAGAGAAUUAUCUUUUACCUUCAUUUUCUUAGCUUUGGCAACAUUCUUUUGGAUUCAUUAUGAGAUAGCUUACCACAUAUGCCAUGUGAUAGUUGAGUUGACAACUUAAAGAGCAUACAUGUCCAAGAAUUUGUGUGCCAAGAUAUAUACAUACACUGUGCAUCCUUUUGCAUAGGAAUAUAUGCAGUUCCGAAAAGAACACAAGCAAAUUUCGACAAUUCAAAAGUACCUGAAGUCAAAAGGAAAUAUUUGUAUGAAGCUAAAUCUAGAUGUAGCUAAAUCAGGAGCAUGUUUAUAACUGUGAUAUGCAGAAACUCUGAUUUAUAAAGAUGUGAGCCAAUAAUAAUAAUAAUUUGA